GGAAAUCUCACCAGGCCGGACACUGGAAGGAUUGACAGAUUGAUAGCUCUUUCUUCAGUGGGUGGUGGUGCAUGGCCGUUCUUAGUUGGUUGAGUGAUUUGUCUUGUUAAUUCCGUUAACGAACGAGACCUUAACCUGCUAAAUAGUGACGCGGUUCAUCGAACCGUGGGCCACUUCUUAGAGGGACUAUCGGAUUCAAACCGAUGGAAGUGUGAGGCAAUAA
Molecule: ribosomal RNA, 223 nt
Filed under: uncultured eukaryote
Lineage: Eukaryota
Description: partial 18S ribosomal RNA
Rfam family: Eukaryotic small subunit ribosomal RNA
Source: RNAcentral